GAGGAAAGUCCGGGCUCCAUAGGGCAGGGUGCCAGGUAACGCCUGGGAGGCGCAAGCCUACGACAAGUGCAACAGAGAGCAAACCGCCGAUGGCCCACGCAAGUGGGAUCAGGUAAGGGUGAAAGGGUGCGGUAAGAGCGCACCGCGCGGCUGGCAACAGUCCGUGGCACGGUAAACUCCACCCGGAGCAAGGCCAAAUAGGGGUUCACAUGGUACGGCCCGUACUGAACCCGGGUAGGCUGCUUGAGCCAGUGAGCGAUUGCUGGCCUAGAGGAAUGACUGUCCACGACAGAACCCGGCUUA
This 303-nucleotide RNase P RNA is filed under the name Yersinia enterocolitica subsp. enterocolitica 8081. RNAcentral describes it as "RNase P class A (RF00010) as predicted by Rfam". It matches the Rfam family "Bacterial RNase P class A", at positions 43 to 351 of the family's 367-position model. Rfam says of the family: Ribonuclease P (RNase P) is a ubiquitous endoribonuclease, found in archaea, bacteria and eukarya as well as chloroplasts and mitochondria. The record is from RNAcentral. Lineage: Bacteria; Pseudomonadati; Pseudomonadota; Gammaproteobacteria; Enterobacterales; Yersiniaceae.